GUUGGGUUUGUCAGGGUUUCUGCAUUGCAGGGGGUUGGACUAAAUGAUCCUUUGAGUCCCUCCAACUCUACUGUUCUGUGAUUCUAAGUAUGUCUAACAAUGUACACCAAAGUAAAUGUGUAUUUCCUGUGAGCAUUUCUUGGUAACAACUUUCAUUUAUUUCACUGAAUAUAUUCCAAGAAAGAGUUGUAAAGGGGGGGGGGUACAUAUUCUAGGAAGGAGAAAUGAACUGCUGUGAGAAUACAUAAUAAAUUUUAAGAAGUGAAUUUUGAUAAUAUCUAAAAUUAUCUAGAGAAAUAAUAAAAACCAUUCCUGUGCCUAUUUAUUCCGGCAUGUCCUACUUCAGGAUGAUUUUCACUCUUAAAAAGGUGGGCACAAGAUUACAGCUUAAAGUUGUGAUCUCAUGCAUGUUACUUAGGAGUAAGUUCCCUUUUACUCAGGGGAUGUAUAUAGUUGUAUGCCACCCCAGUCUCCAAGCAGUGCAAGACUCCAGGGUUACAGGUGCUUACCCAGGGUUUGGUUUCCUGAAAUGAGGGAUAGCAGGGGCUGUGGUGUCAUUAUGAUAGUUUAUUUACACAUAUAUACAACCUGAGUCUCAGUGGCGUAGCAAGGUCAGGUGGUACCCGGUGCAUAAUUUUUUGUGUCCCCCCCCCCCAUUGAAAUUGAAAUCUGUCAAAGAGAGCAGCGCAGGCAAUCGCAAUGCAGAUCCCACCUUCUCCCCCUCCCUCCUUCCACCCCCCAUCAAAGAAAGCCGCGCAGGCGGUGCUGUUGCUGGUCUUGAUCCCACCUUGCCUCAUCAGAGACAUGGCUCCUUCUCGCCUCCCCUCCUCUCCUCUCCACCCCUAAACCAGUGUGUGAUCUCUCUCUCUCUCCCCUCAAACCAGCUGGGCUGCGGAGCUCUCCUAUGCGCCGCUUCUCCUACCCCCCCACCCCCAAACCAGCGCACCUUGGCCCUUAAAUGAAAGGCAAAAGCAGGCGACCGCAGCCUCUCCCACUUCCAUGCCCUUCUUGGGAGUCCGCGUCAGCCCUAGAAGGACCAUGCCUUGCCCUGUGAGCAGCACAGCUUUGACCCUGGCCACACAGACACACACACACAGCACCUGAGCGAGGGCGGCACAUGGACAGGCAGGGAGAGCAGGGUCUGGCCGACCACGCAUGCGCCCGGCCACAGAGGUGGGAAGGGGCAUGUCGGCAUCGCGAUGCAACUCAACCCCGCUCGGUUAUACUACACAGGCAACGUCAAGUUCAGCCGGCAUUUUGUCACCCCCAUCAUGAUGUCACCCAGGGUGAUCUGCACCCUCACACCCCCUUCCUAUGCCCCUGCUGACUCUAUGAUUGAGGGCUCCAAAAGAGUCUUGCUUCUCUCAUAGCCACAGCCUUGGAUACCCACAGAAAUCAAUCAUUGCUCUCAAACGUAGCUUUCUCUCUCUCUCUCUCUCUCCAUCCUGCUGCUUUGCUUCUAGGUCACAUCACAAUUCCACUCUAAACUCGGGCCUCUUGUCUUUCUAACUGACUGGGGAGGGAGGCCCACCUGUUUGCCCUUUUCCACAGAGCCACUCCCUUUGUCCCCUUAGCGACUCAGAGGUCGAUUACCAGGCUGGCCUGGCGCUUGCAGCAAUUGAAUCUGUGCUGGAUCCAGAAAUUAGAAGAGGGGCUCUGGCAUACAACCUAACCCCCACCCCCCAACUCAUAAUAAUAUUUUGAGCAAGCUAAGUGUGGUCUAGAUGCUUCACACACAGCAUAAGAAUCAGAGUCCCUCUCCGUAGGGCCACAUGCAUCCCAUCUUUCAGGAGUUUUUUCACGUUUUAAAACAGGAAUUGAACCAAGGGUGGGGGAUCUGUGGCCCUCCAGAGGUUGCUGGGCUGCAACUCCCAUCACCCAUGAUCAUUGGGAAUUGGAGUCCCAAAAACAUUGGUGCAUGGGGCACAGGUUCAAAUCCCUGUGCCAAGCCAACAUUUGAUCCCAUCAUGGCUGAAGACAUGAAAACUCUCUUUAAAAUACAGACAUUCACGUUGAAAAGGAAAUCAGUGUUGAUUCAGAACAGGUAUCUGCCCUCAUUUGAAGUGGAAAGUUGCUGAGAAGCCAGACUCACUUCUGCAGUGGAAAAAAGAGCCACACUCAGCACUGUUUGUAGGCACAAACUUACCUAAGUAAGCCAUGAAAUAAGAUGCGUAGAAUACUUGUCACGUAUCAAGCUGUGUAUCCUUUGUGCAGAAAUGCCAGACUAAUUUGUAUGUAUAAAACUGUUUGCAAUUAUGCAGAUUGUUAAAAUAAGUUGUGUGUUUGUGAUGAAGGUUAGAAGCAGGGGACAGGAAAAGCUGCUUGCACCUGGGAACCUAUUUGGAGCAUGCUGAGUUUCAUGUGCCUGUUUUCUCUCAGCUUAUCUGUUAAUUUGCUUUGGUUUGUGGUAGCCAAGAGCUGACACAUGGUGAGAUUUGGAAAACCGCAGUAACCACACUAGCAAAGUCAAUGUUCUUUUUCAAACUGAGACAGAAGAACAAAGACUUCAAUGUGUAGGUUUUAUUUGCAUGUGUAACAGACUUCCAGGCAAGGUGCUUUAGAAAAUACCUUAUAUGUGUUUUCAGCACUUGGAAAGCAUCUCUCUUUUUCUGCAGAUUUUAAUAACUACAGCAAAACGUAUCACACUGAGCAGGUAAGUCCAGCUAAUUGCAAUAGGCACGAUAGAAACUAAAGUUCUUCAGGUAUUUUCUUGUUGCUGAAUAUAAUGCACUGAUAUACAUAUGCAGUGCUUUUUGCUAAAAAAAAUGUUUAGGGGUACUCUCUUUUUGACGCAAGAAAAUCACCAUUUUAUAAUUCAAUUCGGGAAAAAUAAAUACAGUAAAUGGACAAAAGUACAAAGAUUCAUAAAAUGUUUAGGGGUACGCGUCCCCCUGCGUCCCCCCAGAAAAAAGCACUGUAUAUAUGUCUGCUUAAUGGGUAGCAUGACAGUAAUUCAGAUGAAGAAAUAAUCAGAUUUAAUAAUAUGAUUUGCUAGCAUUUGCUUGUUCCACAAACUCUUAAUUAAAACCUCUUUUAGACUGUAAAUCUAAUUCUUCUGAACACAGCGUGGUUUACUUUCAGGUAAAUCUGUAUAGGAUUGUGCUGUAAAUGCAACAAAGCAGGGAACUAACCUGAGAGGCAAUGGAGUUGUUAGAGGAUAAACAUGCAAAUGAAAUACUCAAACAAAGAAGCAGAGAAGCAAAAUUAAGUAUUUUAAGCUGCCUUCACUGCAGAAGGUAUCAUCCUUCCUUACUAGAUUUAUUUGGACCAAGCGUAGUCCACAGUAAAUUGAAAGGAACUGUGGUGUAAUGGCUGGGCUAUACGUCUUGGGAAGCCAGACUUAAAUCCUCACUCGGCUAUGAAAAUCACUGGAUGAACCUUCAGCCCUGUGACCCUUUCUAUCCUCACAUAUAACAUCUUGAGCUCUCUGAUGGGAAGGCAGAAUAUAAAAGUAAUGAACUAAUUCUUUACCAUAUUUUUCAAAAAAGAUUUUGUUUUACAGGAAGCUAUUCAUAAACGGAAUAAAAUAAAUAAGAUCAACAGUCCAGGCACUUUAACUUUGGUCCCAGGUAAAUGGGUUGAAACAUCUUUUAAGGUUGAAAUGUGCUGUGUUUAGGACUUGGUGUUGUGAGCAUAGGAAGCCACAACGCACGCAUGC
This 3658-nucleotide long non-coding RNA is filed under the name Podarcis lilfordi (Lilford's wall lizard). The record is from RNAcentral. Lineage: Eukaryota; Metazoa; Chordata; Lepidosauria; Squamata; Lacertidae.